Molecule: ribosomal RNA, 492 nt
Filed under: uncultured bacterium
Lineage: Bacteria
Description: partial 16S ribosomal RNA
Rfam family: Bacterial small subunit ribosomal RNA
Source: RNAcentral
AGUGAACGCUGGCGGUAGGCCUAACACAUGCAAGUCGAACGGCAGCACAGUAAGAGCUUGCUCUUACGGGUGGCGAGUGGCGGACGGGUGAGGAAUACAUCGGAAUCUACUUUUUCGUGGGGGAUAACGUAGGGAAACUUACGCUAAUACCGCAUACGACCUACGGGUGAAAGCAGGGGAUCUUCGGACCUUGCGCGAUUGAAUGAGCCGAUGUCGGAUUAGCUAGUUGGCGGGGUAAAGGCCCACCAAGGCGACGAUCCGUAGCUCGUCUGAGAGGAUGAUCAGCCACACUGGAACUGAGACACGGUCCAGACGCCUACGGGAGGCAGCAGUGGGGAAUAUUAGACAAUGGGCGCAAGCCUGAUCCAGCCAUACCGCGUGGGUGAAGAAGGCCUUCGGGUUGUAAAGCCCUUUUGUUGGGAAAGAAAAGCAGCAGGUUAAUACCCCGCUGUUCUGACGGUACCCAAAGAAUAAGCACCGGCUAACUUCGUG